GACGAACGCUGGCGGCGUGCUUAACACAUGCAAGUCGAACGGAAAGGCCUCUUUCGGGGGGUACUCGAGUGGCGAACGGGUGAGUAACACGUGAGUAACCUGCCCUUGACUUUGGGAUAACUUCAGGAAACUGGGGCUAAUACCGGAAAGGAGCUCCUGCUGCAGGGGGGGGGUUGGAAAGUUUCGGCGGUUGGGGAUGGACUCGCGGCUUAUCAGCUUGUUGGUGGGGUAGUGGCUUACCAAGGCUUUGACGGGUAGCCGGCCUGAGAGGGUGACCGGCCACAUUGGGACUGAGAUACGGCCCAGACUCCUACGGGAGGCAGCAGUGGGGAAUAUUGCACAAUGGGUGGAAGCCUGAUGCAGCAACGCCGUGUGCGGGAUGACGGCCUUCGGGUUGUAAACCGCUUUCGCUCAUGACGAAGCUUUGUGUGACGGUAGUGGGUAAAGAAGCACCGGCUAACUACGUG
This 467-nucleotide ribosomal RNA is filed under the name uncultured bacterium. RNAcentral describes it as "partial 16S ribosomal RNA". It matches the Rfam family "Bacterial small subunit ribosomal RNA", at positions 28 to 507 of the family's 1533-position model. The record is from RNAcentral.